This 1786-nucleotide long non-coding RNA is filed under the name Bos taurus (domestic cattle). Its description in RNAcentral is "long non-coding RNA NONBTAT019461". Lineage: Eukaryota; Metazoa; Chordata; Mammalia; Artiodactyla; Bovidae. The record is from RNAcentral.
GUGGUUUUGUAGUCUCAUUUGUAACUGGUAUUGACAUUUUAGAAAACACCAAAGUGAUUUAAAAAAAUAUGGAACUUCUCACUCUAGUAACAAUAUGUUUAAAUCAUGUUGUUUGUUAAUUAAAUAUUUAAAACUUAUUGUUAACUUUUGCUAGACUAUUUUAAAUCAUGAAAGUGUUGAGAAGGGGAUAUCGAAAUAUAGUUAUGUUAGCUUGUGUACAUAAACGACGCACAUUAAAACAAGCAAAUUGCUUCCAGCAUACAACAGACUACCCUGUUAUAAAUUAAACAUAUAUUAUGACAGCCACAUAUAUGUUAAUAAAUUGGGUAAGAACAUGCUCUCUGACUAAAAAUUGUUCUCAUACCUAAUACUAGUCUUCAUGCAUUUUGAAAGACCGUAACACUCAUCCCAUCCAAUUAUUAUGUUUACUUUAGGAUUUUUCUGAGUUUUGAUUGUUGAACAAUAACUUAAAUCACAGCCUGUUAUAAUAUUAAUUUUCAAAGACUUAAUAGUACAAGAGAUCAAGAAAAAAGCUUUUGAACUCCUUUUGCUUACCUAAUGUUUUGCUGUGCUCACGCAGCUGUGUAGUUUUCACUAAAACAAAACCAAAAUAAGUCUUGUAUUGGAGUUGAAUAACAGAAAUGGAUUUUGCAUUAAUGAUUUGUUUAUAUUUUCUUCAUUUGAACAACCAGCAUUACUGCCAAACACCAAUCGUGGUCCAUAUUUGUAACAGGUUUUUAACAUGACAUAGUUAGCAAGUUUGACUGAAGAGAUUUUUAGGUCCUGGGUCUAAUAAGAUUUUAGUAUGAUCUUUUUUCAUGUUUCUAAUGCUUGAGGCAUUAUUGCUUAACUUGGAAAAAUCUAGACAGUGUUGCUGCCAUUUGUAAGUUUUCCUAUACUAUUCCUUUUAUUAACUUUAAAACUGGCCUUACUGGGUUCAAAUAGGCAGUAUCCCUUUUAAGUGACCUUUGCAACUCAAGUGUUACUUGCUUAUUUGAUGCUCUUUUGUAUUUUACAUCUCAUUUAAAUCUUUCUCUCCACCAAAGCUUAAAUUCUAUGUCUUAAUUUAAACUCUGAACUAUUCCAUUAAUCAUGUUAGUUGACAUUAAAGUGUCUAGAGGUACAGAGGCUGACCUAGGGAAACAAAAUGGAUGUUGUGACUCAGAGGAUACAGUAGAAUGAUGGUCUCACCUGCCCACAGUUUCAAAUAUGUUACAAUUAUCUGGAGCCGGGACCUGUGUUGUUUUCCCAUAGCACAGAAUGUUAAUACUGCUAUUAUUCCAUGUACAUUUCUGUAAAGAACAAAUCAAUAAAGCAAAGGUAUGAAGUUUCUUGAUUUCUUGAAAAAGUUCCAGGAUGUUAAAGUCUUAGAAAACCUUUACCAACAGUUUCAUCUACUUUAUUUCUAAUUCACAAGAUUAACUCAAAGAAAUUCUGAGACUAAUGGGAUACUGUCUUGAAAAGAUGCCAAUUAAGUCUACAGUGUGACCUGACAGAGCUGUCUUUUUUGUUGUGCUGUAUGUUGUUGGAUCAUUUCUAUUAGGGAUACUUUUAUUGAAAUGCUCAGUGUGCAUCCAUGAAAAAGGCCAAGUGGCUUUGUGAACAAAAGAUACUUUCUCCCCUUUAUUAUGUUCUCUUGACACUUUUGUGGAAAUUAGCCUGAUAAAAACAUUUUUGUAAAAAUUUGUAUAUUACUGUUAUAAAAAUAUUUAUAAUCCCAGAAAAUGUUGUGUUAAAUCUUGUGCAAAAACAGUAUAUUCAGAAUAAAAGUUUAUCAUUUAAAGUC